RNAcentral lists this ribosomal RNA (305 nucleotides) under uncultured bacterium. Its description in RNAcentral is "bacterial SSU rRNA". It matches the Rfam family "Bacterial small subunit ribosomal RNA", at positions 201 to 507 of the family's 1533-position model. The record is from RNAcentral.
UUAAACAUUUAUGGCUAUUAGAUGGGUAUGCGUCCUAUUAGUUAGUUGGUAAGGUAACGGCUUACCAAGGCAGCGAUAGGUAGGGGUCCUGAGAGGGAGAUCCCCACACUGGUACUGAGACACGGACCAGACUCCUACGGGAGGCAGCAGUGAGGAAUAUUGGACAAUGGGCGAGAGCCUGAUCCAGCCAUGCCGCGUGCAGGAAGACUGCCCUACGGGUUGUAAACUGCUUUUACAGAGGAAGAACCACCCCCACGUGUGGGGGUUUGACGGUACUCUGCGAAUAAGGAUCGGCUAACUCCGUG